GUCCACGCCGUAAACUAUGGAUACUAGGUGUGGGGGUCUGACCCCCUCCGUGCCGGAGUUAACACAAUAAGUAUCCCACCUGGGGAGUACGACCGCAAGGUUGAAACUCAAAGGAAUUGACGGGGGCCCGCACAAGCAGUGGAGUAUGUGGUUUAAUUCGAAGCAACGCGAAGAACCUUACCGAGGCUUGACAUGGAAACGACCGCGCUAGAGAUAGCGCUUUCCCUUCGGGGACGUUUCACACAGGUGGUGCAUGGUUGUCGU
RNAcentral lists this ribosomal RNA (264 nucleotides) under uncultured bacterium. Its description in RNAcentral is "partial 16S ribosomal RNA". It matches the Rfam family "Bacterial small subunit ribosomal RNA", at positions 793 to 1055 of the family's 1533-position model. The record is from RNAcentral.